Molecule: long non-coding RNA, 807 nt
Filed under: Homo sapiens (human)
Lineage: Eukaryota; Metazoa; Chordata; Mammalia; Primates; Hominidae
Description: HSALNT0107455
Source: RNAcentral
CACUGGGGAGAAUGAAAUACCUUCUACCUUCAUUUAUGAUGUAGAGAACUGUUGCUAGCACUACUAAUAACUCAGUGGUUGUAAUGAGAAUGUCUACAAUUGAAGAGAGAAACUAGCAGCUCUGCACAUAGUCCAGCCAUAACAGUAGCAAGAAUGCAGAAGUCUCCUUAGACAAAGUAUGCUGCUGAUUUGACAUAAAAAUGAGGACCAUUGCUAUAUUAACUUCACUGCAUUGCUAUAAGGUAAUAUUUUUAAAAUAAGUUUUACUCAACAAUACAAUCAAGUCUGACAACUCAAAUCUAUUUUUAAGAUAUUUUCCUAUAUGAUGUACGUUACCCUAAUAAUACAAACUAAUAUUUAUUGAAAAAGUACCACCUGCUAUGUAUAUUUAUCGCAGCACAAUUCACAAUUUCAAAGAUGUGGAACCAACUUAAGUGCCUAGCAGUUAAUGAGUGGAUAAAGAAAAUGUGGCAUAUAUACACCAUAGAUUACUACUCAGCCAUUAAAAGGAAUGAAAUAAUGUCUUUUGCAGCAACUUGGAUGCAGCUGGAGGCUAUUAUUCUAAGUGAAGUAACACAGGAGUGGAAAAUCAAAAACUGUUCUCACAAGUGGGAGAUAAACUAUGAGUAUGCAAAGGCAUGCAGAGUGAUAUAAUGGACUAUAGAGACUCAGAAAGGGGAAAGUGGGAGGGAGGCUAGGGAUAAAAAACUACACAUUUGUUACAGCGUCCACUACUCUGGUGAUGGGUACACUAAAAUCUCAAUUCACCACUGUAUCAUUCAUGUAACAGAAAACUACUGAUAACGC